This 305-nucleotide ribosomal RNA is filed under the name uncultured bacterium. RNAcentral describes it as "bacterial SSU rRNA". It matches the Rfam family "Bacterial small subunit ribosomal RNA", at positions 335 to 633 of the family's 1533-position model. The record is from RNAcentral.
AUUCCUACGGGACGCAGCAGUAGGGAAUUUUCGUCAAUGGGCGCAAGCCUGAACGAGCGAUGCCGCGUGAGUGAAGAAGGCCUUCGGGUCGUAAAGCUCUGUUGCGGGGGAAAAAAGGCAGCAUCAGGAAAUGGGUGCUGACUGAUGGUGCCCCGCCAGAAAGUCACGGCUAACUACGUGCCAGCAGCCGCGGUAAUACGUAGGAUGCGAGCGUUAUCCGGAUUUAUUGGGUUUAAAGGGUGCGCAGGCGGCCUGUUAAGUCAGCGGUAAAAGCCCGGGGCUCAACCCCGGCGAGCCGUUGAAAC